This 253-nucleotide ribosomal RNA is filed under the name uncultured bacterium. RNAcentral's name for it is "partial 16S ribosomal RNA". It matches the Rfam family "Bacterial small subunit ribosomal RNA", at positions 524 to 776 of the family's 1533-position model. The record is from RNAcentral.
UACGUAGGCAGCGAGCGUUGUUCGGAAUCACUGGGCGUAAAGGGUGCGUAGGCGGGUCUUUAAGUCAGGGGUGAAAUCCUGGAGCUCAACUCCAGAACUGCCUUUGAUACUGAAGAUCUUGAGUUCGGGAGAGGUGAGUGGAACUGCGAGUGUAGAGGUGAAAUUCGUAGAUAUUCGCAAGAACACCAGUGGCGAAGGCGGCUCACUGGCCCGAUACUGACGCUGAGGCACGAAAGCGUGGGGAGCAAACAGG